Molecule: ribosomal RNA, 403 nt
Filed under: uncultured bacterium
Lineage: Bacteria
Description: bacterial SSU rRNA
Rfam family: Bacterial small subunit ribosomal RNA
Source: RNAcentral
UAGGGAAUAUUAGUAAUGGGCGAAAGCCUGAACUAGCAACACCGCGUGUGCGAAGAAGGCCUUCGGGUUGUAAAGCACUUUUUGAGAGGAUGAGGAAGGACGGUACUCUCAGAAUAAGUCUCGGCUAACUACGUGCCAGCAGCCGCGGUAACACGUAGGAGGCAAACGUUAUCCGGAUUUACUGGGCGUAAAGCGCGUGUAGGUGGUUUGGUAAGUAGGGCGUGAAAGCUCCUGGCUCAACUGGGAGAGGACGUUCUUAACUGCCAAGCUUGAGGAUGGUAGAGGGAGGUGGAAUUCCGGGUGUAGCGGUGGAAUGCGCAGAUAUCCGGAGGAACACCAGUGGCGAAGGCGGCCUCCUGGACCACUCCUGACACUCAGACGCGAAAGCUGGGGUAGCAAACGG